Chenopodium quinoa (quinoa) is the source of this 2786-nucleotide long non-coding RNA. RefSeq lists it as uncharacterized. Lineage: Eukaryota; Viridiplantae; Streptophyta; Magnoliopsida; Caryophyllales; Amaranthaceae. The transcript has 3 exons. The record is from RefSeq and is a predicted model, not a curated record.
UAAUCCAACCUUUACCUCUUUCUCCUAAAAUAAUCCAACCUUUCGAUUAACCCUCAAUAAUCCUAAGUUUACUACUUAUUUUCUUACACCGAGCUUUUUUGACCGGCUACCUGAACUUCAGGUAACUUUUUUUAAUUUUUAUUUUAUUUUUUAUUUUCCUUAAUUUUCCCCACCUUCUUCCUUCUCUCCUACACUACAAGAAAAAGAUAAAUUAGCAACAGAAAUUUACGACUACCCUAUUAUUCGGUCGCAAAAAAUAUUUUUGCUACUGAAAAAGACGGUCAGUCACAAAUUUUGCAACUAAUUUUGCACCAGUUGCUACGCAGUCGCUAAUUUGCGACUGAAUUUUGCGACUACUAUAGUAAUCAGUCGCAAAAAAUAUAUUUGCGACUGUUAGAGACGAGUAGUCACAAAUUUUGCGACUCAUUUUGCAGUAGUUGCAAUGUUGUCGCUAAAUUGCAACAUUCUAAUAAUAUUUGCGACUAUAAAUUAUAGUCGUUGGGGAUAAUGAUUUUCUAACUUUUUAAUUUAAAAUUUGCGACUAAUGUUGCAACUAAAUCCUUAGUCAUUACCAUUAUUUUAUAAAUUUAAUAAAAAAGAAAUAAAAACAAAACCCUUAAUAUGAUGAGGAGUUGCCAACAAAACAAAAAAAGAACUAACUUAAUCACUUACUAUCUUACUCGUCCAAAAAAAAACAAAAAAAAAAAAAAAACUCAAUCACUUAAAAGCCUUAAGUAAUUUUUUCAUCAAUGGUUCUAUAAAGUACAAAAACUCUUCCUUCUAAAAAAAAGCAUGCAGAAGGAAAUUUUCAGAGAUUAAAGAAUUCAACCCUCACCGUCGCUCUUCAUCUGCCUUCGCUGCGCCACCAUGUCUCCUCCAAGUGCUAACAACUUCUUCUGAUAUGAGAGCGCUCAUUCUGUUGAUGUGGGCAAUAAUGAAAUUGAAUUGUGGGUGACAAGACUCAUCAAGUCAUGGGACAAUAUAUGGAUAAACUUGAGGAAUAUAAAAAGGAGUUGAGAUAAACCCCGACAAAGUCUAAUUGGAGGUUGUAGGUGGGAAAAAGAAUAGAAAAGUUUAUGGUUUAGGGAGUGCUUCACAAAUUUACUACAAGAACGAUCCUACUUCUCACCUUACUUCAUAAUGUAUAUCAUCAUUAGUUCUUAUUUGUCAUGUUAGAGGUGAUUUUUGAAACAAUUAGUCUUAUGGUUACUAAUAUUGUUUUUUAAUACAUUGAUACAAAAUUGAUGAUGAUAUUUUGGAUAUUUGAAUAAAAUUAACAUUUUGGUUAUUUGAAUAUAUGUGUAGGUACUUUUUUUUUUAUUGAUAUUUGGUCGUCACUAAAUUAAGGUCUCCAAAUAUUAAUAGCCCGUCGCAAAAAUAUUGCGACGGUAGAUUUCUUAUGGAGAUUAAUUGGUAUGUUGCAAUAAUUGGACUCGGUAGUCGCUAGUUUGUUGCAAAAAACUAGUUUUUAUAGUCGCAAAAUUUUGGUCUCGUGGCAGCUAAUCCGUCGCGAAACAAAUUAGUCUCAACCGUCGCAAUAUUUUGGCCUCUAGUUGCAAAUCCAUCGCAAAGAAAUUAGUCUCUGUAGUCGCAAAAGUUUUGUCUUGUAGUCGCAAAAUUUGGUCUUGUAAUUGCUAGUCCGUCGCAAAAAGAGUUUUAAAACAUUAGUUUCCGUAGUCGCUAAUCCGUCGCUAAUAUUUUACGACGGACAAUGAUUUAGUUGCUAAAAUUUGAAAGUUAGUCGCUAAAUGAUAGUUGCAAAGUCGUUGCAAAUCCGUUGCAAAUUUUCUACUGUUCAAAAAUUAGUUGCAAAAAUGGAUUUGCGACGAGGUCUUUGCCAACUAACCAAAGUAGUUGCUAAUCCGUCGCAAAUCCAUUUUUGCGACGAAUUUGCGACUAUUUUGGCGGUCGCUAAUACCCCUUUUUCUUGUAGUGCUAUUCAACACCGUUUCAAGCUUCUUGCCAUGAACAAUGGCUCCUUCACCUCUCUCAACCUUGCCGCCACUGUGAACCACCUCACCCAUUUUCCCAUCUGCCCCACUAGCCCCUCCUUUCCCUGUCAACCAACCCUCCACUUGCCACCACCUCGCAAUUAGCCUGCAAUUUAGCCGCCACCAUUUACCCCACCCAAACCCAAACCCACUCCGACCAAGACUCACAACCACCAAUCCCACCUCGCUGAAACAACCCAUACCCGAAUUCACCAACCCACCCUAACCCAUACACCCAAAAUCCCAAUUCUACCAACCUAGAACACAAAACCCUAACUCCCACCAAUUUCCUUCUCUUUUCUCCCUCUCAAUUGAAUUUUGGGCUGAAUUGGGGUGGUCGUACGUCGUUGGUGUUGCGGUUGUUGUGGGUGUUGUUUUCGGUUGUGUUAUGAGUGGUUGUUGAUAUUGUGGGUUGGUCAUGAAUGUUGUGAUGAGUGGUGAUGUCGGUGGUGUUUGUGGUGGUUAUAGGCGGUGGUGUUUGCAGUGGCCCCAUGGGUGUGUUGAGUGGUGUUGGUGCGUGGGUGAUAAUGGAGGAAGAAGGAGGAGAGAGAUACAAACAAGAAGGGGAAGGAGAUAGAAUUUUUUUUUUUUUUAAUUUUUAGAUUUUUCUUUAAAAAAAUUAAAAAAUAAAACUUUGACUAAUCGGAAAUUGCCACGUGGAUGGUAACCGGUUGUAAAGGGUAAGGUGACCUGUUGGGGUUGCUAGGAGAAAAUAUAUAGUAAACUUAGGAUUAUUCAAGGUUAACCGAAAGGUUGGAUUAUUUUGGGUGAAUGUGUGAAAGGUUGGAUUAUUCU